UAUUCUUCCUCCCGUAUAUCUUGAAAAUUCUACAGUAACACAAUCGCUUUGAACCGACCGUCCCUAGUGCAAGUAGCAAAGGACUUGGUGGUUGGUAUCCGAGGUCCCAAGUUCGAAUCCUAGUUGAUUCACAUUUCCAGCUAAGUUUAUUUCUAGAUGAAAUAAAUGAAGCUGGUAGCGUGCUAUCUAUUUCUAAAAAAAAAACUCAAUCGCUUUGACCAGAUUACACCAGUU
RNAcentral lists this long non-coding RNA (234 nucleotides) under Ananas comosus (pineapple). RNAcentral describes it as "long non-coding RNA (ACOM_LNC014759)". The record is from RNAcentral. Lineage: Eukaryota; Viridiplantae; Streptophyta; Magnoliopsida; Poales; Bromeliaceae.